Molecule: long non-coding RNA, 3018 nt
Organism: Salvelinus fontinalis (brook trout)
Lineage: Eukaryota; Metazoa; Chordata; Actinopteri; Salmoniformes; Salmonidae
Exons: 4
Source: RefSeq, a predicted model, not a curated record
UUUAUGUGUUGAGGGCUUCCGUUUUUCUGUUCUGUAUUUUUCAUCUGCGGGCUUGGGGUUACUGAAAUCAAACGGAAGAGAUCUGUUAAAUUGUCGAGGUUUUGACUUUGCUUAUUGUUUGAAGACCUUCACAAGAAGGCACUAAAAGGGGCAGAAGUAGAAGCCGAUCCCCACCAAAACGAGAUUUGCGUCAGCAACGAAUAAGCAAUAAUAAUAGCAAUUCGCUAACGUUCAGCAUUCUAGUUACAAACAGUCCAUAUUUGUUCUAGCUAGCAAAUUGGUGAUAAUAACUACACCAUUUUGGUCUCGCAAUUAACAUUGAGAUGUUUAACUCUUAACAUUGGAGAUAAACUAUGCUAAUUGGGUUAACUUUAGUUUGUGUACAUUCUAGCUAGUGCGUAUUUCUCUGGUCCAUCGCCCGACAAUAACGAGUUUCCUCUAUGCUCUGGAACGUUCAAUUGAUUUUUUUCAGUUUUCCCCACGAAUUUGAGUUGUUUCAAAAAUAAUUUUGUUACUCAGCAAAGUGUAGAUGUUGCUAGUGUUGGAUAACUUUUGUCUGUACGCGUAGAGUGUCGUUAAUCCAAUACGAAUUUAACGACCAGAUUAACUAUAGUCCGCGAACAUGCGUCGGAUAUGUGCUACUACUUGCAUGCCCCUCCGACGUAUGCACAUGUACCAGAGCUAGUCUGGCGGUAAACAAUGUGCUCAAAAUAAGUUAUUUACUUUAGUAUUUUGGAGACAUGACACCCUGCACAUACAGAUAAGUUCUCCCAACACUUUAGCAGCAUCAUUAUUUUGUUGAGUUAGUACGAAAGUAUAUUAAACCCAAACCAGUUACUAAACAAAAUUCCCCUAUGGGGGAUUCGUGGAACAAUUCAUAACAUGGAUGCUUCGUACCCUGCCCUACUAAGUAUUGUCUUGGUCUUUGUUCCUCAUAUUCUGCAGAGAGACGGCGCUCGGGUUCUAGGGACCGCGAACGAAAGCGCAGGGAAAGGGAACGCUCCCGUUCUCGAGACAGGGAAAGGAGAGAAAAGACCAGUGAGCCAACUCAACUGAAAGGAGACAGUGGACUCACACAGGUCUCUUCGCAGGCUACGCUCCCCCUCCAGGCAGAAGGACAGGCGUGAUGAUGAUCAAAAGGAUUCCAAGGAUAAGUGGAUUAAGGAGCAUCAGAUCUCGGGUGGUUUAUCUGUUAUGAACUUGGAUGCGUUUCAAAUGGUGAAAAGUCAGCCAUUUGGGACGCACCCCUUAUGUGAGGAUAUGGAUAAAUACUAUUGUUGCGUGUCACUAGCUAGGUUUCCAAUCAAUUGGCGACAGAUUUCAAUGUGAAUAUUAAAACGAAUGUACUUGUGCGUGAUAACGUAGGGCACAUAAUAACUUUUGCGGUUAAAUUCCCAUGUACCGAAUCAAAUGUAAAAAAGAUAAAUGGGUCACCAGUUCGCAUCCUGUACAGUAGAUUAAAGUGAUCAAAAAUAAAUCACUGCUCUUUUUUUGUUGAGUGCUCCAACUCCCUUUUACCUCGAAUUAGUCAUGUUUUUUCUUGGUAAACCAUUCUCAGGGUUUCCGUUACAAAAUAAUCAGUAGUGCUAAAAUUCUAACUAAAUAUAAUAUUUGCACGUGCACUCUAGCCAACAAUUUACAGAUACAGUAUGGGUAUAGCCUACUACACGAUGAGAUUAUUAUGGACAAAAUAUAAUUUUUAUUUGUCAAACAGCAGGCAAGCAUCCAUGUCACCAAAAUAAAACCCUCAAUUUUGAUUGGAACGAAGCAUCAAGCUCACCUCUAUGCUUUCACUACCCUUGAAAGUUCAUAGUGGGAGGAUCACAUAACAUAGACUAUCAUCGUGGGACUUCUAGAAAGGAUGGUUAUUUCAAUAUUUGCACAUAAAAGCAUUUCCACUGCCAUUUCUUGCCGAAUUAAUUUUACACACACAAAAAGAUCCAACCUUGUCUGGGAUGGUUUGUCAAUUUGUAAUGUUUAUGGGCAAAUUUGCUGUUUCCAUCAGUACAUUUUUUUAUCCAAUGUACUUUACUCGCAUAAAAAGGUUGGAUGGAAACCUGCUUAGUGUCAAAUGUGUGUAUUGUUUACAGAGGAAGAUAUGCAGGGCAAGACCAAAGAGGAGAUUGAGAUGAUGAAGAUUAUGGGCUUCGGCAACUUUGACACCACAAAAGGAAGGAAGACCGAUGGCGCAGUCAAUGCACAUGCUAUCAAUCUGUCUCAGAAAUACAGGCAGUACAUGAACAGAAAAGGUGGAUUCAACAGACCUCUGGACUUCAUUGCUUGAAGUAGGAUAAACAACAGACUCAUUGAUGUUACACUAGCCUUGUGGUCUCUCUCUGUGACACUGUGUGCGUGUGUGACUCCAUGCACGCACUGCAUAUAAGUUCUGCAAAUACUCAUGCGACUGAAUAAGUAAAUGUUUCUUUAAUAUCAGUUUUGUUUAUUUAUUUUAAGAAUGAGCCUUGUUAACAACAUGCCUGGGUUAAUAUGCUUUUCAUCAGCAUUUUAAGGUGUUUUUGAUUCAGAUUAAGAACUUAAAUUCAGAUCAUGGCCCCUUCUUGUUUUUUGAUUCAUGUAAGCAAACAAAUUGUUGAAAUGUAGUGCUCUAAUCAAACCAAAAUGGAAUGUUAUUGGUCACAUACAAAUAUUUAGCAGACGUUAUUGUGGGUGUAGCGAAAUGCUUGUGUUCCUAGCGCCAACAGUACAGUAGUAUCUAAAAACAAUACACACAAAUCUAAAAGUAAAAGAAUGGAAUUAAGAAAUAUAUAAAUGUUAGAUUGAGAUGUGUAUUCUAAGUGGGAUAGUUUUCAGCGCUGGAAGGUCUGAGAAUAAUAUUUUUGAAGGUUCAAAAUGUUUGUUUUUUUCGUUCACUGCUAUAAUGGUUUCAUUCCGUUUGGUUCCUAGUGAAUGCCUCCCGUGUGAUCUACCUUGCAUGGCCAAAGUUCUUGUUGGUCUGUCUUAAUCUUUCUCGCAUACAAUAACAAUUGCGUUCCAAUUAAAUAGAUUUGAUUAUGGGCA